This 506-nucleotide ribosomal RNA is filed under the name uncultured bacterium. RNAcentral describes it as "partial 16S ribosomal RNA". It matches the Rfam family "Bacterial small subunit ribosomal RNA", at positions 29 to 523 of the family's 1533-position model. The record is from RNAcentral.
AGUGAACGCUGGCGGUAGGCCUAACACAUGCAAGUCGAACGGCAGCACAGGAGAGCUUGCUCUCUGGGUGGCGAGUGGCGGACGGGUGAGGAAUACAUCGGAAUCUACUCUUUCGUGGGGGAUAACGUAGGGAAACUUACGCUAAUACCGCAUACGACCUACGGGUGAAAGCAGGGGAUCUUCGGACCUUGCGCGAUUGAAUGAGCCGAUGUCGGAUUAGCUAGUUGGCGGGGUAAAGGCCCACCAAGGCGACGAUCCGUAGCUGGUCUGAGGGGAGAGUCAGCCACACUGGAACUGAGACACGGUCCAGACUCCUACGGGAGGCAGCAGUGGGGAAUAUUGGACAAUGGGCGCAAGCCUGAUCCAGCCAUACCGCGUGGGUGAAGAAGGCCUUCGGGUUGUAAAGCCCUUUUGUUGGGAAAGAAAUCCAGCUGGUUAAUACCCGGUUGGGAUGACGGUACCCAAAGAAUAAGCACCGGCUAACUUCGUGCCAGCCGCCGCCGUAA